CUCUGUCACCCACUGGAAGCUUACUCCCCAGUCGGCAGCUCCACAAGGCCUCAUCUGCCCGUCCAUGUGGCCUUUGCAACUGCUAGCCUGGGCUGCUUCCUUUACACCACAGGUCGCCACGCGCGUUUGCAGCAGCCAAUGGGAAAGAAGGAGCAAAUCCUUGUACACCAAUCCUGGCGAUGAGCUAUCAAAUUUGUUUACGGCUGCAUAUCUACGUUUCAUCUGCCCUCAUAUGCACUAGCGGAGCUUGAACAAGAAACAUGGGCGAGCUAGCAGUUGAAGGGAAGCCUGGAUGUAGACUUGUGGUCAGAUACAAGCACAAAGUCAAGAAUAAAGCUUGAACAAGAAUAUUGGGUGAGCCACGGCCUGGGUUGGCCCCGACGUAGCUCCGCCAUUGCUCAUAUGUGUUGUGAAUCUGUGAUAUACUAGCAUAAUAUAUGUGUUUCAUACUUACAUGCUUCCGCCCCUUCUGAUAUUGUUUCUAUUACAAUCGAACUUUGCUCCAACCAUUUGCAAUCAUGCUUCCAUUACUUACAUUUUUGCAUAAGGUGAUAUCAGUUUUUGCUUCUUAUUAUUCCCACUAUUGUUUUAGAAAUUGAUACAACCACUACUACCAUGCAAUGUGCAUCUCGAGGCUUCAACACGUCCAUCCAUGAUUCAUAUGACAACGACUGUGACAACAACUGCCGUAUCAUAGUUUACGAGGACGAUGAGCACGAAGCCUAGCCACGUCUGCUAGCUUCGUCGUGGAAUGAAAGAACUCAACGUUAUUAUGCUUCACCUUACUGUGCUUCCUUGUACUGCUUAUAAACAAUAUUGAUACUGACUGUAUAUUAUGCUUCACCUUCAUGUACUUCUUGUGUCCAUAGUUGUGCUUCGUCAAGGUUUUCAGAUUGAUAUGUUAUAGAGGCAUCAUGAAGGAGGCUGAGUUCAAGCACCUGUUAAAGAGUUGAUUUGUAGCAUGACGGUUGAAUGAUGCAUGGGACGAGUAGUCUAUGCAUUGCCUCGUCGAUGCGACGAUGCAAGCCUCGCAGUUAUAAAGCAGUGCAAUGGCGAGAGAACAAUCGACCUGUGGUCUAGCAGUGUGUUGGCGACCAAGCAAAUUUCCCCCAUCCAGCAACGGCGGAUCCUCGUAUUAUUCUCCUACAGGAAAAUUUCUUGUAGACACCACAUGAUGCGUUCAUUGGGAGCAUCUUUUUAUUCGUGAAUUUGACAUGAGUGUGUAGGAAGAAAACAGAAGAGUCCAUGGAAACAUAGAAUAUUAGGAACUGAAAUUUAAAUACUUAUGAAGCAUUGUUCUAAUUGACAAGAAGCGU
This is a long non-coding RNA of Lolium rigidum, 1316 nucleotides long. RefSeq lists it as uncharacterized. Lineage: Eukaryota; Viridiplantae; Streptophyta; Magnoliopsida; Poales; Poaceae. The record is from RefSeq and is a predicted model, not a curated record. The transcript is spliced from 3 exons.